This 482-nucleotide ribosomal RNA is filed under the name Halobacteria archaeon. RNAcentral's name for it is "partial 23S ribosomal RNA". It matches the Rfam family "Bacterial large subunit ribosomal RNA", at positions 2468 to 2925 of the family's 2925-position model. The record is from RNAcentral. Lineage: Archaea; Methanobacteriati; Methanobacteriota; Halobacteria.
CCGGGGAUAACAGGCUGAUUCCUCCCAAGAGUCCAUAUCGACGGAGGAGUUUGGCACCUCGAUGUCGGCUCAUCACAUCCUGGGGCUGUAGCCGGUCCCAAGGGUAUGGCUGUUCGCCAUUUAAAGUGGUACGCGAGCUGGGUUCAGAACGUCGUGAGACAGUUCGGUCCCUAUCUGCCGUGGGCGCCUGAGAUUUGAGAGGAGCUGCUCCUAGUACGAGAGGACCGGAGUGGACGAUCCUCUGGUGUUCCGGUUGUCACGCCAGUGGCAUUGCCGGGUAGCUAUGAUCGGACGGGAUAACCGCUGAAAGCAUCUAAGCGGGAAGCCCCCCUCAAGAUGAGAUCUCACCGGGACUUCGAGUCCCCUGAAGGGCCGUUGAAGACUACGACGUUGAUAGGCUGGAUGUGGAAGCGCAGCAAUGUGUGAAGCUAACCAGUACUAAUUGCCCGUGAGGCUUGACCAUAUAACACCAAAGCAGUUGG